GAUGAACGCUAGCGGGAGGCCUAACACAUGCAAGCCGAGCGGUAUUGUUUCUUCGGUAAUGCGAGAGCGGCGUACGGGUGCGUAACACGUGUGCAACCUGCCUUUAUCUGGGGGAGAGCCUUUCGAAAGGAAGAUUAAUACUUCAUAAUAUAUUGAACGGCAUCGUUUAAUAUUGAAAGCUCCGGCGGAUAGAGAUGGGGCCGCGCAAGAUUAGCUAGUUGGUGAGGUACCGGCUCACUAAGGCGAUGAUCUUUAGGGGGCCUGAGAGGGUGAGCCCCCACACUGGUACUGAGACACGGACCAGACUCCUACGGGAGGCAGCAGUGAGGAAUAUUGGUCAAUGGGUGCAAGCCUGAACCAGCCAUCCCGCGUGAAGGACGACUGCCCUAGGGGUUGUAAACUUCUUUUGUAUAGGGAUAAACCUACCCUCGGGAGGGUAGCUGAAGGUACUAUACGAAUAAGCACCGGCUAACUCCGUG
RNAcentral lists this ribosomal RNA (479 nucleotides) under uncultured bacterium. RNAcentral describes it as "partial 16S ribosomal RNA". It matches the Rfam family "Bacterial small subunit ribosomal RNA", at positions 28 to 507 of the family's 1533-position model. The record is from RNAcentral.